CCUACGGGGGGCUGCAGUGGGGGAUAUUGCACAAUGGGGGAAACCCUGAUGCAGCGACGCCGCGUGGGCGAUGGAGUACUUCGGCAUGUAAAGCCCUAUCAGCAGGGAAGAAAAUGACGGUACCUGAUUAAGAAGCCCCGGCUAAAUACGUGCCAGCAGCCGCGGUAAUACGUAGGGGGCAAGCGUUAUCCGGAUUUACUGGGUGUAAAGGGAGCGUAGGCGGCAGGACAAGCCUGCAGUGAAAUGCCGGGGCUCAACCCCGGGACUGCAUUGGAAACUGUGCGGCUGGAGUGCAGGAGAGGUAAGUGGAAUUCCUAGUGUAGCGGUGAAAUGCGUAGAUAUUAGGAGGAACACCAGUGGCGAAGGCGGCUUACUGGACUGUGACUGACGUUGAGGCUCGAAAGCGUGGGGAGCAAACAGGAUUAGAUACCCGGGUAGUC
Molecule: ribosomal RNA, 440 nt
Filed under: uncultured bacterium
Lineage: Bacteria
Description: partial 16S ribosomal RNA
Rfam family: Bacterial small subunit ribosomal RNA
Source: RNAcentral